CACUCCUACGGGAGGCAGCAGUGGGGAAUUUUGGACCAUGGGCGAAAGCCUGAUCCAGCAAUGCCGCGUGAGUGAAGAAGGCCUUCGGGUUGUAAAGCUCUUUUGUCAGGGAAGAAACGGUGAAAGCUAAUAUCUUUUGCUAAUGACGGUACCUGAAGAAUAAGCACCGGCUAACUACGUGCCAGCAGCCGCGGUAAUACGUAGGGUGCAAGCGUUAAUCGGAAUUACUGGGCGUAAAGCGUGCGCAGGCGGUUUUGUAAGUCUGAUGUGAAAUCCCCGGGCUCAACCUGGGAAUUGCAUUGGAGACUGCAAGGCUAGAAUCUGGCAGAGGGGGGUAGAAUUCCACGUGUAGCAGUGAAAUGCGUAGAUAUGUGGAGGAACACCGAUGGCGAAGGCAGCCCCCUGGGUCAAGAUUGACGCUCAUGCACGAAAGCGUGGGGAGCAAACAGGAUUAGAAACCCGAGUAGUCCCAUG
This 474-nucleotide ribosomal RNA is filed under the name uncultured organism. Its description in RNAcentral is "partial 16S ribosomal RNA". It matches the Rfam family "Bacterial small subunit ribosomal RNA", at positions 334 to 799 of the family's 1533-position model. The record is from RNAcentral.